This 275-nucleotide ribosomal RNA is filed under the name uncultured bacterium. RNAcentral's name for it is "partial 16S ribosomal RNA". It matches the Rfam family "Bacterial small subunit ribosomal RNA", at positions 338 to 605 of the family's 1533-position model. The record is from RNAcentral.
CCUACGGGUGGCUGCAGUGGGGAAUUUUGCGCAAUGGGCGAAAGCCUGACGCAGCGACGCCGCGUGUGCGAUGAAGGCCUUUGGGUCGUAAAGCACUGUCGAUCGGGACGAAAACUUAUUUAUUAAUACCAAAUAAGUCUGACGGUACCGAUAAAGGAAGCACCGGCUAACUCUGUGCCAGCAGCCGCGGUAAUACAGAGGGUGCAAACGUUGCUCGGAAUUAUUGGGCGUAAAGCGCGUGUAGGCGGCUUGUUAUGUCGGUCGUGAAAGCCCAC